RNAcentral lists this unclassified non-coding RNA (1578 nucleotides) under Mizuhopecten yessoensis (Yesso scallop). Its description in RNAcentral is "uncharacterized LOC110464824, transcript variant X2". The record is from RNAcentral. Lineage: Eukaryota; Metazoa; Mollusca; Bivalvia; Pectinida; Pectinidae.
AGGAAUGGCCACUACAGAAAUCUAUUUCCGGUUUAAGAUACGGCCAGGUGCGCCUAGAUCCAGACUAUCACCUCGAACGAUCACAGGUUAGACCAUGCCACCAGCACCAAAAGAUUUUAAGCCGGGGGUUCCUGAUUGGAGUACAGUACAUGAACCUACAGGGACUCUGUUCCCUCCCAUAAAGGACAAAUCAGAAUGGAGCCAGUUCCAGUUCAACACUGAUCAAGUCAAUAAGUUCUGGGAGGAUGGAUUUCUCCUCAACAUCCCCCUGUUAUCAGAACAGGACUGUGACAGGAUUCUCGCUGACUAUCGCUACUUCACGGGAGAAAAUAAACACGAUGGAAUGGAUAUGUUGUAUGAAUACCAUAGUAACCAGAGUGGUGAUGCUAACAACGUAUUGAUGCAUUGCCUGGGACACUGGAGAAUGACCAAGCUCUUCCAUGAUCUGGCUUUCCUCCCCCAAGUCAUUGUGCCUGGUUCACAAUUGCUGGUUCAGAACAAGAUGGUGCCACUCCGUUUCUGGCACGACCAGUUGUUCGCGAAGCCAGCCAAGCAUGGGGGUGUGGUUGCCUGGCACCAAGACUUUUCCUAUUGGACCAGGACAACUCCCAUGAUGCACCUAACAGUCCAUAUUGCACUGGACGAUCAAACAGAGGAGAACGGAGGUCUCUACUAUAUCCCGGGAUCUCACAGAUGGACAAGAAAUGGAAAACCUCUUCCUGUGACUGACUUCAAUUUUGCAGACAUGGAAUCUAUACAGACUAUCUUGACGGAGGAGGAAAAACAGCAGUUUAAACCCGUGUGUGGGAAACUCCGCAAAGGUCACGCGAGCUUCCACCACCCUCUGGCUGUACAUGGUUCUUACGGAAACAGGUAACGCAAGUCACAUAAUAGUUAUAGAUACUCCUCAAAGGUCACGCGAGCUUCCACCACCCUCUGGCUGUACAUGGUUCUUACGGAAACAGGUAACGCAAGUCACAUAAUAGUUAUAGAUACUCCGCAAAGGUCACGCGAGCUUCCACCACCCUCUGGCUGUACAUGGUUCUUACGGAAACAGGUAACACAAGUCACAUAAUAGUUAUAGAUACUCCUCAAAGGUCACGCGAGCUUCCACCACCCUCUGGCUGUACAUGGUUCUUACGGAAACAGGUAACGCAAGUCACAUAAUAGUUAUAGAUACUCCGCAAAGGUCACGCGAGCUUCCACCACCCUCUGGCUGUACAUGGUUCUUACGGAAACAGGUAACACAAGUCACAUAAUAGUUAUAGAUACUCCUCAAAGGUCACGCGAGCUUCCACCACCCUCUGGCUGUACAUGGUUCUUACGGAAACAGGUAACGCAAGUCACAUAAUAGUUAUAGAUACUCCGCAAAGGUCACGCGAGCUUCCACCACCCUCUGGCUGUACAUGGUUCUUACGGAAACAGGUAACGCAAGUCACAUAAUAGUUAUAGAUACUCCGCAAAGGUCACGCGAGCUUCCACCACCCUCUGGCUGUACAUGGUUCUUAUGGAAACAGGUCAGAGGUUCCGAGGCGAGCUGCCGUACUGAAUUACUUUGGAGACGGAGUGAAAUCCAGC